UACGUAGGAGACGAGCGUUGUCCGGAGUUACUGGGCGUAAAGCGCGCGUAGGCGGGUUGGCAAGUCUGCUGUGAAAGCCCGGGGCUUAACUCCGGAGGGUCGGUGGAUACUGCCAGUCUUGAAGGUGCUAGGGAGAGAUGGAAUUACAGGUGUAGCGGUGAAAUGCGUAGAUAUCUGUAGGAACACCAGUGGCGAAGGCGGUCUCUUGGGGCAUUCUUGACGCUGAGGCGCGAAAGCUGGGGGGAGCGAACGGG
Molecule: ribosomal RNA, 254 nt
Filed under: uncultured bacterium
Lineage: Bacteria
Description: partial 16S ribosomal RNA
Rfam family: Bacterial small subunit ribosomal RNA
Source: RNAcentral